CCGCACGGACCGCAUGAACUGCGCAAGGGAACCGGGGAACCAUCACCUUGGGGUGAAUCGGACGCCUCAGCCAGAGGGUGCCCGUAGGAGACCUUCCUGCUCCGAACCCGUCAGCUAACCCGGUAGGCGAGAAGGAAGGAAAGG
This 144-nucleotide small RNA is filed under the name Streptomyces sp. RNAcentral's name for it is "c-di-AMP sequence". It matches the Rfam family "c-di-AMP riboswitch aptamer (ydaO/yuaA leader)". From Rfam's summary of the family: This family represents a conserved RNA structure found upstream of the ydaO and yuaA genes in Bacillus subtilis and related genes in other bacteria. The ydaO/yuaA element is thought to act as a genetic "off" switch for the ydaO and yuaA genes in its native state. RNAcentral also lists the same sequence under 1 other name. The record is from RNAcentral. Lineage: Bacteria; Bacillati; Actinomycetota; Actinomycetes; Kitasatosporales; Streptomycetaceae.